Molecule: ribosomal RNA, 526 nt
Filed under: uncultured bacterium
Lineage: Bacteria
Description: bacterial SSU rRNA
Rfam family: Bacterial small subunit ribosomal RNA
Source: RNAcentral
AAUAGAUACCCCGGUAGUCCUGGCCCUAAACGAUGAGUGCUUGGUGUGGCGGGGUAUCGAUCCCUGCCGUGCCGAAGCUAACGCAUUAAGCACUCCGCCUGGGGAGUACGGUCGCAAGGCUGAAACUCAAAGGAAGUUGACGGGGGCCCGCACAAGCGGUGGAGCAUGGUGGUUUAAUUCGACGCAGCGCGAAGAACCUUACCCAGGCUCGAAAUGCAGACGAUCGCCGGUGAAAGCCGGUUCCCGCAAGGGCGUCUGUAUAGGUGCUGCAUGGCUGUCGUCAGCUCGUGUCGUGAGAUGUUGGGUUAAGUCCCGCAACGAGCGCAACCCUUGUCUUCUGUUGCCAUCAGGUCACGCUGGGCACUCUGGAGAAACUGCCGGUGACAAACCGGAGGAAGGUGGGGAUGACGUCAAGUCAGCAUGGCCUUUAUGUCUGGGGCUACACACGUGCUACAAUGGCCGGUACAAACCGCUGCAAACUCGCGAGGGUGAGCUAAUCGGAGAAAGCCGGUCUCAGUUCGGAUUG